Molecule: ribosomal RNA, 354 nt
Filed under: Triticum aestivum (bread wheat)
Lineage: Eukaryota; Viridiplantae; Streptophyta; Magnoliopsida; Poales; Poaceae
Description: partial small subunit ribosomal RNA
Source: RNAcentral
AUGCCUGUUCGAAAUGUGAAUUAUAGUAUUUUUUCUUGUGGGAAUGGAAAUGAAAAACACGAGAUACUUUUUCUAGAAAUAUGUACUAAUGGAAGUUUAAACCCUAAGGAAGCACUUUAUGAGGCUUCUCGAAUUCAAUUGAAUUGUAUUUUUAUUGAUCAAUUAGAAUUGACUUCUAGAACGUAUAAUUGUCUAAAAAGGGCCAAUAUACAUACACUAUUGGACCUUUUGAGUAAGACUGAAGAAGAUCUUCUGAGAAUUGACAGUUUUCGUAUGGAAGAUAGAAAGCAUCUAUGGGACACUCUAGAGAAGCAUCUCCCAAUUGAUUUACUUAAGAAUAAACUCUCGUUUUAA